GUGAGUUAUGACACAUGUGAAAAGCACCAGUUAAAAACAAACGAACUUAAUGACCAUUCAUCUCCCUCCACUCAUCUCUCUCUCUCUCAUAACUGUCUCCACCGCACCAGAGGCUCUCUCGGCGGCGGAGACAUCACGAAAUCUCAAACCGAAACCAUCAUUCUACUCUAUUUUGUGCCCUAAUACAUGGCCAUGAAACACUCUAAAAAUUAUUGAAUCGGUCCAAUCGAAAAUGUUAAGUCAAGAACCCUAACAUGUCAAAGUCAAAUUAAAUGGUAAAAUAGGGAUUCUCUCACAAACCAUGGGAUUAAUGAUACCAAGAAGAUCUAUUACACAUUGGUGAUUGAUUUUGAGGCAAACAGAGAAGGAAAUAUUUACCUCCGAAACGGAGAACUAUUUCGGUGAAUGUUGAUCGGAGAAGACGAAAUAUAGAAUAAAAUCACCUAAAAAACAGGAUUUUUGCUUGGUCAUGCAUAUUUGGAACUGUUGCUCAAUCUGUUAGCUCUACAGGAUGAUGAGUAAUGCAAGAUUCUAUAUUGAUGUGUUUGAAUGCGGGUGCAUUGGCUUCUGUCAUGGCUGUUGCAGGAUCUACACGAGCGAUUAUGCAGGAUUAUUGGAUUUGUUUUGAAACAUCGAAUGGUCAUAAAAUGUAUGUAAUGGAAACGUUUCAGGUGGUUUAGAAUUGGCUUGUGGGGUUUAAAAACUGUGUAUUGAUUUGUAAUUUUCUUGAACAUUGUAAUCAAUGGUUUAUUAAUGAAAUUGUUUAGUUUAUGUAA
Lathyrus oleraceus (garden pea) is the source of this 776-nucleotide long non-coding RNA. RefSeq lists it as uncharacterized. Lineage: Eukaryota; Viridiplantae; Streptophyta; Magnoliopsida; Fabales; Fabaceae. The transcript has 2 exons. The record is from RefSeq and is a predicted model, not a curated record.